This is a long non-coding RNA of Gopherus flavomarginatus (Mexican gopher tortoise), 1527 nucleotides long. RefSeq lists it as uncharacterized. The transcript is spliced from 8 exons. NCBI's taxonomy places the organism in Eukaryota, Metazoa, Chordata, Testudines, Testudinidae. The record is from RefSeq and is a predicted model, not a curated record.
CUGUGUGCAUAUUUAUUGGCUUCUCCUAAAGUUAGUUAGGAUUAUAGGGGAAAGUGUCAGAGCAGCCACCAGUGAGAGUUGCUGGACACACUGUGAGGCCACCAAAUUUGGUCGUGAGACCCCCUGGGCUAGAUGCUCCUGAUGGGCCCUUCUGACCUUAGAGCCUGGGAGUGGAACAGGAGCCGGUGUAACGACAGAAACAGUGACCGCUCCAGAUUCCCGACUUUGGCAUCACGGAGCAUGCGCAGUAAACUUUGCUGUCGCCGCUGCCCUCUCUCUGCCCUCACUUCUGCUUACGAUUUGCUGCCUCCUCUUUGGGGGGGUUUAAAAGCAUCAAGGGGGGCAAAUCGCAGCGGGGGGGCUGCCAGGGUCUGAGCAGGGGGCAAAAAUUUACUGGCCAGGGGGGAUCAAACUGCUAACCUUCCCAAGUGCAAAAAUCUUCUGCAACAAUGAAGGCUUGGGCUGAUGACCAGUGGCUGCAGAACUUUUGGAUGGUCCACAUUUCUGCAUCUUUGUGCAAAACUCACCAAAAUAAAAGCUGCACUGACAGUGGAGAAGAUAAAAUAAUUGUACUACGGGGAUCUGCAACACCAGAUUAUUAUUGGUCAAUCACUGUUCUCUCUUCUAAACUAAGAUGGAAUGGAUUUCUUUAAUAUUCAGGACUGUGAGCUAAGAUCAUCAGUGAAGACUCAGGAGUUCAAGCUUCCUGGAGUGGAUUCUUCAGAUUUCCAGACAACUAUUUUCUCCAAAGAAGUUGCACCAAGCAAAAAAUUACCUCAAUACACAUAAUGGCAAGGAAAUCUUUUGAAGAAAAAAUUGCAAAUGUUUUGGCAUACAUAAGGAGUAGCACAUAUCCUGAAGGAAUGAAUAAAGCAGGCAGACUGAACCUGCGUCGAUAUGCUGUCAACUUUUCAUUGGAAGAGGGGAGAUUGUUCCAUUCAGCAAAAGGAAGAAAGGUUGUCGUUGUACAUACCAUGAAAGAAGCCCUGCAACUCUUUAAAAGGUAUCAUGACAGUCCAGCGGGUGGACAUCUAGGAAUAUUCAAAACCAGGAAUGCGCUGACAUCAAAAUACUAUUGGCCAGGGAUGACAAAAGACAUUGCCAAUUGGGUUGCACAGUGUCUGACUUGCCAGAAAGAGGGAAAGCAAUCAAAUCUGGAUACCACCUUGAAAAGCACAGAGGUCACUCGGAUCUGGGAAUUGGUGGGAAUGGAUUUAAUUGGACCGUUACCAGUAACAAAGAAUGGAUACCAGUAUAUACUUACAGCCAUAGAUUAUCUUUCAAGAUGGGUGGAAGCCUUUCCACUUAGAAAUAAGUCAUCAUCUGAGGUGGUAGAGAUCAUGUUCAGCAUGAUUCUUCGACGUGGAUGCCCACAGCGGAUACUGACAGAUCGUGGUGCAGAAUUCAAUAAUAAGGUAAUGAUUUCUUUUUUUCUGGUUAUUUGUACUAUGUACUCAAACUCACUGUCAGGUCACCCAUAGAUCUCAAACAACCACCAUCUUUUCUUUUUAUAUAUAUAAACUGCUG